RNAcentral lists this ribosomal RNA (465 nucleotides) under Vreelandella stevensii. RNAcentral's name for it is "partial 16S ribosomal RNA". It matches the Rfam family "Bacterial small subunit ribosomal RNA", at positions 338 to 795 of the family's 1533-position model. Lineage: Bacteria; Pseudomonadati; Pseudomonadota; Gammaproteobacteria; Oceanospirillales; Halomonadaceae. The record is from RNAcentral.
CCUACGGGCGGCUGCAGUGGGGAAUAUUGGACAAUGGGCGAAAGCCUGAUCCAGCCAUGCCGCGUGUGUGAAGAAGGCCUUCGGGUUGUAAAGCACUUUCAGUGGGGAAGAAAGCCUUGGGGCUAAUACCCUCGAGGAAGGACAUCACCCACAGAAGAAGCACCGGCUAACUCCGUGCCAGCAGCCGCGGUAAUACGGAGGGUGCGAGCGUUAAUCGGAAUUACUGGGCGUAAAGCGCGCGUAGGCGGUCUGAUAAGCCGGUUGUGAAAGCCCCGGGCUCAACCUGGGAACGGCAUCCGGAACUGUCAGGCUAGAGUGCAGGAGAGGAAGGUAGAAUUCCCGGUGUAGCGGUGAAAUGCGUAGAGAUCGGGAGGAAUACCAGUGGCGAAGGCGGCCUUCUGGACUGACACUGACGCUGAGGUGCGAAAGCGUGGAUAGCAAACAGGAUUAGAUACCCCAGUAGUC